Molecule: transfer RNA, 68 nt
Filed under: Centropyge heraldi (yellow angelfish)
Lineage: Eukaryota; Metazoa; Chordata; Actinopteri; Pomacanthidae
Also listed under: 1 other name
Description: tRNA-Cys
Source: RNAcentral
AGCCCUGAGGUGUGUUUACAUAUCAGAUUGCAAAUCUGAAGAAGCAGAUUAAUCGUCUGCCGGGGCUU